GCCGAAGUGGUGGAACUGGCAGACGCGCUGGACUCAAAAUCCAGUGGUAGCAAUACCGUGCGGGUUCGAUUCCCGCCUCCGGCA
Transfer RNA from Clostridium estertheticum, 84 nucleotides. It matches the Rfam family "tRNA". From Rfam's summary of the family: Transfer RNA (tRNA) molecules are approximately 80 nucleotides in length. Their secondary structure includes four short double-helical elements and three loops (D, anti-codon, and T loops). Further hydrogen bonds mediate the characteristic L-shaped molecular structure. tRNAs have two regions of fundamental functional importance: the anti-codon, which is responsible for specific mRNA codon recognition, and the 3' end, to which the tRNAs corresponding amino acid is attached (by aminoacyl-tRNA synthetases). tRNAs cope with the degeneracy of the genetic code in two manners: having more than one tRNA (with a specific anti-codon) for a particular amino acid; and 'wobble' base-pairing, i.e. permitting non-standard base-pairing at the 3rd anti-codon position. The record is from Rfam. NCBI's taxonomy places the organism in Bacteria, Bacillati, Bacillota, Clostridia, Eubacteriales, Clostridiaceae.